RNAcentral lists this unclassified non-coding RNA (690 nucleotides) under Hevea brasiliensis (rubber tree). Lineage: Eukaryota; Viridiplantae; Streptophyta; Magnoliopsida; Malpighiales; Euphorbiaceae. The record is from RNAcentral.
UUGGGAGAUGAGAGUCUUGUUGAAUGGGCUCGGCCUUUGCUUGGCCAUGCACUAGCCAAUGAGGAAUUUGAUGAUUGGGUUGAUCCAAGGCUUGAAAAGAACUAUGAUGAAAGUGAAAUGUUUAGAAUGAUUGAGGCUGCAGCAGCUGCAGCCUGUGUGUGGCAUUCAGCUGCCAGGAGGCCAUGGAUGGGACAGGUUGUUAGAGCAUUCAAUAGUUUAGCCACCGCAGAUCUAAGCAAUGGAAUGAGAGUUGGGGAAAGUGAGGCAUUCAACACAGCAGAACAGUCUGCAGAAAUAAGAUUAUUUCGGAGGAUGGCAUUUGGUAGUCAAAAUUACAGUACAGAUUUUUUUAUCCAAGGUAGCGUGGAUAGUUGAGAGGACAUGGUGAAUAUUAGCAGAGAUGAAUGCCUAUAUUGACAGUGGGGUUUUUCCAGUUGAGAAAGAGCCCUAUGCAAGUUCAAGCAGAUUUGAUUGGGAAGGGCCUCAUCUACAGAUGUACGGGGAUUUGUACAUAAGGAAUUUACUGCUUCUGGCAUGGCGAUUGGUUAUUAGGUUAUUUUUAGCUUUUGCAUAUGAAAGAUCUGCGAUUCUUUUUUCUUGGAACAAGCUCAUGCUAAUUUUGUUCCUACGAAAUUUUUUAGCGUUAAUAAAAAAAUUAUUUAAUUUUUUUUGUUAAAAAAAAAAAAAAAA